UGUCGUGUCAUUUCACCAUAUGAAUCCAGAAUUUUCUGCAAAUUUUUAGAUUUUGUUUUACGAACUUUUUUUUUUUUAUGCAGCUUGUAAUUCAUGGUGGUUCUAUGCUGUAACUGUUGGUGGAAUUGAAAAAAGGAGAGACUUACAAUGGGCAUUUGGUCAAUUGUGAUGCUUGGGUUGCUUGAUUUUUCUAUUUGGCUCUAAAAAACAUGGUAAUCAUAUCAACUGUCUUUGAUUUGAAAACUUUCUAUCUUUCUCCUGUUUUCUUUGACAAUCUUAAUUUUUUUUUUCUUGUGUAAACUGCUGGAUCCUCUUUCUUUACUCAAGACUGCUCAAGGCCACCCAAUGCUUGUAAUUCAUGGUGGUUCUAUGUUGUAACUGUUGGUGGAGUUGAAAAAAGAAGAGACUUACGAUGGACAUUUGGUCAAUUGUGAUGCUUGGACGAACAUCCAUCUCCGUUUAGCUUUAAUUUUAUUUAACCUUAAUAUCCUUGAUCUGUUUUAGAUUCCAAAAUUUCCCAUCCCUUUCCAUGCUUUCAUUUAUGUUCUUGACCCUGGCAUUUCUUGCUGGUUGCUUGAUUUUUCUUUUUUGCUCUAAAAAACAUGGUAACCAUCUCAACUGUAUUGGGUUUGAAAACUUUCUAUCUUUCUCCUGUUUUCUUUGACAAUCUUAAUUUUUUUUUCUUGUGUUAACUGCUGGUUCCUCUUUCUUUAUUCAAGACUGCUCAAGGCCACCCAAUGCUUGUAAUUCAUGGUGGUUCUAUGCUGUAACUGUUGGUGGAAUUGAAAAAAGGAGAGACUUACAAUGGGCAUUUGGUCAAUUGUGAUGCUUGGAUGAACAUCCAUCUCCGUUUAGUUUUAAUUUUCUUUAACCCUAAUAUCCUUGAUCUGUUUUAGAUUCCAAAAUUUCCCAUCCCUUUCCAUUCUUUCAUUUUAUGUUCUUGACCCUGGCUUUUCUUGCAGGUUGCUUGAUUUUUCUUUUUGGCUCUAAAAAACAUUGUAAGCAUCUCAACUGUCUUUGAUUUGAAAACUUUCUAUCUUUCUCCUGUUUUUUUGACAAUCUUAUUUUUUUUUCUUGUGUUAACUGCUGGUUCCUCUUUCUUUACUUAAGACUGCUCAAGGCCACCCAAUGGUAAGAAAGGGAUGUCUGUUUUUCUUGUCGUGUCAUUUGACCAUAUGAAUACAGAAUUUUCUGCAAAUUUGUAGACUUUGUUUUACAAACUUUUCCAUUUUUUUUAUGCAGCUUGUAAUUCAUGGCUAUUCUUCCAGGUGUUUUUGAUAUGAUGGAUAGACUUAUUGGUUGAAGUCACAACACAAGAACUCUGAACUGUGAAUUUGCUUUAUUGUUUCUUCAUGUGAUAAAUGACUAGUCUGAGCUUCAGUUUUUUUUUUCUUGGCUUUUAAUGUAUUGUUAAACUGUUGUGUCUUGUAAUUAAUGUUUGAAAUCUAUUUAUCUGAUUUGCCAGCCGAUAUCUUUACUGAAAUCCUAGACGAUGAUGUUUUGGUCUUGCCCCCACAUGUACUCGAUACUUACUGAGAUAGGUAUAAGUGGAGUGUGAAAGAGUUGCAUAAAAUGCUUCAUUGUUGCAAUGAGCAACUUCAGCAGGUCAUCCAUAUGAACAAGAAGGCACUAGAUCAACAUGAGGCAAGUGACGAGGCACUCCAGAAAAGGCAAGCUGAACUUGAGGCGAGUGACGAGGAUGAUGCUAUGAUUUAGCGUGUGCUAUGCUAAAAUGUUCUUUGUCUGCUUGGCUUCUUGGAUUAGUUCAGGUAUUCCUCACUUGGCUUCUUGCAUCAUUCUUAUAACAACCCGUGACAUCACGUAGGUAAUUUACCUAGUCUAUUGUAUUAUGUUAAAUAUUUUCUCUCUUAGAGUUGUGUUCCCAAUUUGCUAGACGGUCUGGCAUAAUCACUAGCAGUCUCUUGACCUUCUGCCAUGGUCACUUUAUCAUUUGAAUGAUGCACUUCAUAUCAAUAUGCAUUUUGAGCAACUUAUUUCAUGUGGUGGUUGGGUAUAAUAACAUAUCAAGUCUAAUAAUUAGGCACCUUAAUGCUUUGAAAUGAGGACAAGCCACUUUUAUCCCACUGAACAGGUAAGGAUAAAGUAUCCUUGCGUAACUUAUCCACAUGGUUCUGACGUGUUGCCUUUAAUAAAGAAGUUGAAGUUUUCUCCUAAUUUUCCCCUAGGAUUUGUGCAGGAUAGUUCUCCAUCGAGCUUGUUCUAACUGAAAUAGUAUUGAUACAACAAAAACUUUGAUUUGAGUUUUGAGUUUUGGUCUACACACGAUUGAAAACUCAGUAAUUACCUGUGCUAUAUAUCUCUACUUGAUUUGUUAAUUGAUUGUUGAUGUUUUCAUUAGCUUGUUCUGCAAAUUUGGGUUGAAAGUUUUUGGUGCGACUCUUUAUUGAUUGCUUUUGGAAUCCAUCGACAUGUUCUUGGAUACUCAGGGAGCAUUGUUUAUGCCCGAGGGCUUGUCUAUAAAUGUGUAUGCUUUUUAAAAAUUUACAUGAGCUAAAUUGAUAGUGAUGUUGAUAGGACUCCUGUGAUGGGCUGCAUGCUUAUAUCGUUGAUUAUUCUUCUUAUUCUUCCAAGUAUUUACCUAAACCGUGAUAUGUGGAGAUUUGGAUGUGUCCAUAAAUUGAUGGUGUGGUCUGCAAAAUUAUGGAUAGUUACGAUAAAAAUCUUAUAUGUUAUUUUACAUGAUGAUCUUUAUACAUGUUUAUGAUGCCUACAUGUUUUUAAUUAGCUUACCAUACUGGCUAUAGAAAAGGUGAUUUAGCUUACCAUGUAUAGCUUCCUUAGAUCACUCUAGUACACGAUUGAAAACUCAGUAAUUACCUGUGCUAUAUAUCUCUACGUGUUUUGUUAAUUGAUUGUUGAUGUUUUCAUUAGCUUGUUCUGCAAAUUUGGGUUGAAAGCUUUUGGUGGGACUCUUUAUUGAUUGCUUUUGAAAUCCAUGGAUGGACAGUUGUGAGAAAAAAUUUCAAUUUGAUAAUUGUUGUCCAUUAGUCCCGGCUAUAAAAGCAAGCAAGGCGAUAAAGUACCUACAUAUAACCUUUUUCCUUGAUGUGGUAGCUGUAAGUAACUUAAAUUAUUUGAUCGACAUGUUCUUGGAUACUCGUGGAGCAUUGUUUAUGCCUGAGGGCUUGUCUAUAAAUGUAUAUGCUUUUUAAAAAUUUACAUGAGCUAAAUUGUUAGUGAUGUUGGUAGGACUCCUAUGAUGGGCUGCAUGCUUAUAUCGUUGAUUAGUCUUCUUAUUCUUCUAAGUGUUUACCUAAACCGUGAUAUGUGGAGAUUUGGAUGUGUCCAUAAAUUGAUGGCGUGGUCUGCAAAAUUAUGAAUAGUUACGAUAAAAAUCUUAUAUGUUAUUUUACAUGAUGAUCCUUAUACAUGUUUAUGAUGCCUUAACUAUAUACAUGUUUUUAAUUAGCUUACCAUACUGGCUAUAUAUACUCUCGUAAAUAGAAAAGGAGAUUUAGCUUACCAUGUAUACCUUCCUAAGAUCACUUUAGUACACGAUUGAAAACUCAGUAAUUACCUGUGCUAUGUAUCUCUACGUGUUUUGUUAAUUGAUUGUUGAUGUUUUCAUUAGCUUGUUCUGCAAAUUUAGGUUGAAAGUUUUUGGUGGGACUCUUUAUUGAUUGCUUUUGGAAUCCAUGGAUGGAUAGUUGUGAGAAAAAGUUUCAAUUUGAUAAUUGUGGUCCAUUAAUCCCAGCUAUAAAAGCAAGCAAGGCGAUCAAGUACCUACAUAUAACCUUUUUCCUUGAUGUGGUAGCUGUAAGUAACUUAAAUUAUUUGAUCGACAUGUUCUUGGAUACUCGUGGAGCAUUGUUUGUGCCUGAGGGCUUGUCUAUAAAUGUAUAUGCUUUUUAAAAAUUUACAUGAGCUAAAUUGUUAGUGAUGUUGGUAGGACUCCUAUGAUGGGCUGCAUGCUUAUAUCGUUGAUUAUUCUUCUUAUUCUUCUAAGUGUUUACCUAAACCGUGAUAUGUGGAGAUUUGGAUGUGUCCAUAAAUUGAUGGUGUGGUCUGCAAAAUUAUGAAUAGUUACGAUAAAAAUCUUAUAUGUUAUUUUACAUGAUGAUCCUUAUACAUGUUUAUAAUUAGCUUACCAUACUGGCUAUAUAUACUCUCGUAAAUAGAAAAGGAGAUUUAGCUUACCAUGUAUACCUUCCUAAGAUCACUCUAGUACACGAUUGAAAACUCAAUAAUUACCUGUGCUAUAUAUCUCUACGUGUUUUGUUAAUUGAUUGUUGAUGUUUUCAUUAGCUUGUUCUGCAAAUUUGGGUUGAAAGUUUUUGGUGUGACUCUUUAUUGAUUGCUUUUGGAAUCCAUGGAUGGAUAGUUGUGAGAAAAAGUUUCAAUUUGAUAAUUGUGGUCGAUUAGUGCCAGCUAUAAAAGCAAGCAAGGCUAUAAAGUACCUACAUAUAGCCUUUUUCCUUGAUGUGGUAGCUGUAAGUUACUUAAAUUAUUUGAUCGACAUGUUCUUGGAUACUCGUGGAGCAUUGUUUAUGCCUGAGGGCUUGUCUAUAAAUGUAUAUGUUUUUUAAAAAUUUACAUGAGCUAAAUUAUUAGUGAUGUUGAUAGGACUCCUUUGAUGGGCUGCAUGCUUAUAUCGUUGAUUAUUCUUCUUAUUCUUCUAAGUGUUUACCUAAACCGUUAUAUGUGGAGAUUUGGAUGUGUCCAUAAAUUGAUGGCGUGGUCUGCAAAAUUAUGGAUAGUUACGAUAAAAAUCUUAUAUGUUAUUUUACAUGAUGAUCUUUAUACAUGUUUAUGAUGCCUUAACUCUAUAUACAUGUUUUUAAUUAGCUUACCAUACUGGCUAUAUAUAAAAAUAGUAAGCAAUGCCUUGACGUUCUUCCUAUGCCUUUUUAUUGUUUUCCAAGUUUAAUCAGUAUAUUUUUUGGUCUUUUAUGUUGAAAUUUUGAGAUAACCAUAUGAGUGCAUUUUAAAGUUUCAUGUUACAUUUGUGGUCAAUCUAGAUAGCCGUUGAAACAGUUCUAUAAAUUUUGUGGUAUCUUGACAAGAUGUUUAUCACGAAGAUGAUAAUUGUGACGAUGAUGGACGUCAUGAAGCAAAUCUAGAGGGAAAUAUGUUACUGUGAAAAUGAAGGUAUGAAGCAAAUCUAGAGGGAAAUGUGUUUAUUUUUUUGCAGAAACGAGGAGAUAGAAAUAAAAAAGGAUAUUAUAUAACAUGAUGCCUUAAUUGCUCUCUUACCAACUCAAUCACGACUUAUUGAUCAAUUUUUUUGGAUAUCAUCAACCAUUUGUAACCAUAAAGGAAAUGGACAUCAUUUAACAAGGAAAAAAAUAUAUAAGAAAUUUUAUUGUAAUGCAAAAUUUUCUUUGUUUAACUUCUAGGUUGCUAAAGUGUGCUAGUUGCUUUUGACUAUAGUUGGUUGAUGGUUGUUAGAGAGGUUCAGUAACAGGCUCAUGCUUUUUUGGUAAAAUAAAAUAUGGUUUUAGUUAUACCAUUACUUUAUGGAUUUUGGUUAUCCACUAUGGCUAAUAAUCUUUUAUUUUAUCUGCAGUUUAAGAGCAUUUUUGGAUUUUUUUUUUGUUGCUCAACUUUGUGGAUUCGUUUAAUCUAUUGUUUUUUUUUUGUGGUGGUGUUCUACUUUCAGGAAUAUCAUGUAUCGGGUAUCCCAUUGGUAAUAUUGUUUUUGUUUGCUUGCCAUGUUCCAAGUUUGAGGGUUCACUUGGUUUGGGGUAAUGGCAGUUGGUUUUGUUCCAAGAAGAGGGUUUGCUGAUUAUAUAAGUGUUCUUUUCUCGACAAGGAAACAUUAUCAUUAAUAUCUUAUGUUUUGAAGGUUAAUUCAUGGUGGUUGUAAGCUGUAACAGUUGGUGGAAUUGAAAAAGGAGAGACUUACAAUGGGCAUUUGGUCAAUUGUGAUGCUUGGGUGAACAUCCAUCUCCGUUUAGCUUUAGUUUUCUUUAACCCUAAUAUCCUUGAUCUGUUCUUGUGUUAACUGCAGCUUCCUCGUUCUUUACUCAAGACUGCUCAAGGCCACCCAAUGGUAAGAAAGAGAUGUCUGUUUUUCUUGUCGUGUCAUUUGACCAUAUGAAUCCAGAAUUUUCUGCAAAUUUGUAGACUUUGUUUUACAGCCUUUUUCAUUUUUUUUAUGAAGCUUGUAAUUCAUGGUGGUUGUAUGCUGUAAGAGUUGGUGGAAUUGAAAAAACGAGAGACUUGCAAUGGACAUUUGGUCAAUUGUGAUGCUUGGAUGAACAUCCAUCUCCGUUUAGCUUUAAUUUUCUUUAACCCUAAUAUCCUUGAUAUGUUCUUGUGUUAACUACUGGUUCCUCUUUUUUUAGUCAAGACUGCUCAAGGCCAUGCAAUGGUAAGAAAGAGAUGUCUGUUUUUCUUGUCGUGUCAUUUGACCAUAUGAAUCCAGAAUUUUCUGCAAAUUUGUAGACUUUGUUUUACAAACUUUACCAUUUUUUUUUAUGCAGCUUGUAAUUCAUGGUGGUUCUAUGAUGUAACAGUUGGUGGAAUUGAAAAACGGAGAGACUUACCAUGGGCAUUUGGUCAAUUGUGAUGCUUGGAUGAACAUCAAUCUCCGUUUAGCUUUAAUUUUCUUUAACUCUAAUAUCCUUGAUCUGUUUUAGAUUCCAAAAUUUCACAUCCCUUUCCAUGCGAUCAUUUUAUGUUCUUGAACCUGGCUUUUCUUGCAGGUUGCUUGAUUUUUCUUUUUGGCUCUGAAAAACAUGGUAUCCAUCUCAACUGUCUUUGAUUUGAAAACUUUCUUUCUCCUGUUUUGUUUGACACACAUAAUUUUUUUUUUCGUGUUAAUUGCAACUUCCUCUUUAAAGACUCAAGACUGCUCAAGGCCACCCAAUCGUAAGAAAGAGCUGUCUGUUUUUCUUGUCAUGUCAUUUGACCAUAUGAAUCUGGAAUUUUCAGCAAAUUUUUAGACUUUGAUUUACCGCCUUUUUCAUUAUUUUAUGCAGCUUGUAAUUCAUGGUGGUUGUAUGUUGUAACAUUUGGUGGAAUUCUAAAAACGAAAAGACUUACGAUGGGCAUUUGGUCACUUGUGAUGUUUGGAUGAACAUCCAUCUCCGUUUAGCUUUAAUUCUCUUUAACCCUAAUAUCCUUUAUCUGUUUUAGAUUCCAAAAUUUGGCAUCCCUUUCCAUGCUUUCAUUUUAUGUUCUUGACCCUGGCUUUUCUUGCAGGUUGCUUGAUUUUUCUUUUUGGCUCUAAAAAACAUGGUAACCAUCUCAACUGUCUUUGAUUUGAAAACUUUCUAUCUUUCUCCUGUUUUCUUUGACAAUCUUAAUUUUUUUUUCUUGUGUUAACUGCUGGUUCCUCUUUCUUUAUUCAAGACUGCUCAAGGCCACCCAAUGCUUGUAAUUCAUGGUGGUUCUAUGCUGUAACUGUUGGUGGAAUUGAAAAAAGGAGAGACUUACAAUGGGCAUUUGGUCAAUUGUGAUGCUUGGAUGAACAUCCAUCUCCGUUUAGUUUUAAUUUUCUUUAACCCUAAUAUCCUUGAUCUGUUUUAGAUUCCAAAAUUUCCCAUCUCUUUCCAUUCUUUCAUUUUAUGUUCUUGACCCUGGCUUUUCUUGCAGGUUGCUUGAUUUUUCUUUUUGGCUCUAAAAAACAUUGUAAGCAUCUCAACUGUCUUUGAUUUGAAAACUUUCUAUCUUUCUCCUGUUUUUUUGACAAUCUUAUUUUUUUUUCUUGUGUUAACUGCUGGUUCCUCUUUCUUUACUUAAGACUGCUCAAGGCCACCCAAUGGUAAGAAAGGGAUGUCUGUUUUUCUUGUCGUGUCAUUUGACCAUAUGAAUACAGAAUUUUCUGCAAAUUUGUAGACUUUGUUUUACAAACUUUUCCAUUUUUUUUAUGCAGCUUGUAAUUCAUGGCUUCUUCCAGGUGUUUUUGAUAUGAUGGAUAGACUUAUUGGUUGAAGUCACAACACAAGAACUCUGAACUGUGAAUUUGCUUUAUUGUUUCUUCAUGUGAUAAAUGACUAGUCUGAGCUUCAGUUUUUUUUUUCUUGGCUUUUAAUGUAUUGUUAAACUGUUGUGUCUUGUAAUUAAUGUUUGAAAUCUAUUUAUCUGAUUUGCCAGCCGAUAUCUUUACUGAAAUCCUAGACGAUGAUGUUUUGGUCUUGCCCCCACAUGUACUCGAUACUUACUGAGAUAGGUAUAAGUGGAGUGUGAAAGAGUUGCAUAAAAUGCUUCAUUGUUGCAAUGAGCAACUUCAGCAGGUCAUCCAUAUGAACAAGAAGGCACUAGAUCAACAUGAGGCAAGUGACGAGGCACUCCAGAAAAGGCAAGCUGAACUUGAGGCGAGUGACGAGGAUGAUGCUAUGAUUUAGCGUGUGCUAUGCUAAAAUGUUCUUUGUCUGCUUGGCUUCUUGGAUUAGUUCAGGUAUUCCUCACUUGGCUUCUUGCAUCAUUCUUAUAACAACCCGUGACAUCACGUAGGUAAUUUACCUAGUCUAUUGUAUUAUGUUAAAUAUUUUCUCUCUUAGAGUUGUGUUCCCAAUUUGCUAGACGGUCUGGCAUAAUCACUAGCAGUCUCUUGACCUUCUGCCAUGGUCACUUUAUCAUUUGAAUGAUGCACUUCAUAUCAAUAUGCAUUUUGAGCAACUUAUUUCAUGUGGUGGUUGGGUAUAAUAACAUAUCAAGUCUAAUAAUUAGGCACCUUAAUGCUUUGAAAUGAGGACAAGCCACUUUUAUCCCACUGAACAGGUAAGGAUAAAGUAUCCUUGCGUAACUUAUCCACAUGGUUCUGACGUGGUGCCUUUAAUAAAGAAGUUGAAGUUUUCUCCUAAUUUUCCCCUAGGAUUUGUGCAGGAUAGUUCUCCAUCGAGCUUGUUCUAACUGAAAUAGUAUUGAUACAACAAAAACUUUGAUUUGAGUUUUGAGUUUUGGUCUACACACGAUUGAAAACUCAGUAAUUACCUGUGCUAUAUAUCUCUACUUGAUUUGUUAAUUGAUUGUUGAUGUUUUCAUUAGCUUGUUCUGCAAAUUUGGGUUGAAAGUUUUUGGUGCGACUCUUUAUUGAUUGCUUUUGGAAUCCAUCGACAUGUUCUUGGAUACUCGGGGAGCAUUGUUUAUGCCCGAGGGCUUGUCUAUAAAUGUGUAUGCUUUUUAAAAAUUUACAUGAGCUAAAUUGAUAGUGAUGUUGAUAGGACUCCUGUGAUGGGCUGCAUGCUUAUAUCGUUGAUUAUUCUUCUUAUUCUUCUAAGUAUUUACCUAAACCGUGAUAUGUGGAGAUUUGGAUGUGUCCAUAAAUUGAUGGUGUGGUCUGCAAAAUUAUGGAUAGUUACGAUAAAAAUCUUAUAUGUUAUUUUACAUGAUGAUCUUUAUACAUGUUUAUGAUGCCUACAUGUUUUUAAUUAGCUUACCAUACUGGCUAUAGAAAAGGUGAUUUAGCUUACCAUGUAUAGCUUCCUUAGAUCACUCUAGUACACGAUUGAAAACUCAGUAAUUACCUGUGCUAUAUAUCUCUACGUGUUUUGUUAAUUGAUUGUAGAUGUUUUCAUUAGCUUGUUCUGCAAAUUUGGGUUGAAUGUUUUUUGUGGGACUCUUUAUUGAUUGCUUUUGGAAUCCAUGGAUGGAUAGUUGUGAGAAAAAGUUUCAAUUUGAUAAUUGUGGUCGAUUAGUCCCAGCUAUAAAAGCAAGCAAGGCUAUAAAAUACCUACAUAUAGCCUUUUUCCUUGAUUUGAUACUUGUAAGUAACUUAAAUUAUUUGAUCGACAUGUUCUUGGAUACUCGUGGAGCAUUGUUUAUGCCUGAGGGCUUGUCUAUAAAUGUAUAUGCUUUUUAAAAAUUUACAUGAGCUAAAUUGUUAGUGAUGUUGAUAGGACUCCUGUGAUGGGCUGCAUGCUUAUAUCGUUGAUUAUUCUUCUUAUUCUUCUAAGUAUUUACCUAAACCGUGAUAUGUGGAGAUUUGGAUGUGUCCAUAAAUUGAUGGUGUGGACUCCAAAAUUAUUGAUAGUUACGAUAAAAAUCUUAUAUAUUAUUUUACAUGAUGAUCUUUAUAUUGCCUUAGCUAUAUACAUGUUUAUAAUUAGCUUACCAUACUAGCUUUAUAUACUCUCGUAAAUAGAAAAGGUGAUUUAGCUUACCAUGUAUAGCUUCCUAAGAUCACUCUAGUACACAAUUGAAAACUCAGUAAUUACCUGUGCUAUAUAUCUCUACGUGUUUUGUUAAUUGAUUGUUGAUGUUUUCAUUAGCUUGUUCUGCAAAUUUGGGUUGAAAGCUUUUGGUGGGACUCUUUAUUGAUUGCUUUUGAAAUCCAUGGAUGGACAGUUGUGAGAAAAAAUUUCAAUUUGAUAAUUGUUGUCCAUUAGUCCCGGCUAUAAAAGCAAGCAAGGCGAUAAAGUACCUACAUAUAACCUUUUUCCUUGAUGUGGUAGCUGUAAGUAACUUAAAUUAUUUGAUCGACAUGUUCUUGGAUACUCGUGGAGCAUUGUUUAUGCCUGAGGGCUUGUCUAUAAAUGUAUAUGCUUUUUAAAAAUUUACAUGAGCUAAAUUGUUAGUGAUGUUGGUAGGACUCCUAUGAUGGGCUGCAUGCUUAUAUCGUUGAUUAUUCUUCUUAUUCUUCUAAGUGUUUACCUAAACCGUGAUAUGUGGAGAUUUGGAUGUGUCCAUAAAUUGAUGGUGUGGUCUGCAAAAUUAUGAAUAGUUACGAUAAAAAUCUUAUAUGUUAUUUUACAUGAUGAUCCUUAUACAUGUUUAUAAUUAGCUUACCAUACUGGCUAUAUAUACUCUCGUAAAUAGAAAAGGAGAUUUAGCUUACCAUGUAUACCUUCCUAAGAUCACUCUAGUACACGAUUGAAAACUCAAUAAUUACCUGUGCUAUAUAUCUCUACGUGUUUUGUUAAUUGAUUGUUGAUGUUUUCAUUAGCUUGUUCUGCAAAUUUGAGUUGAAAGUUUUUGGUGUGACUCUUUAUUGAUUGCUUUUGGAAUCCAUGGAUGGAUAGUUGUGAGAAAAAGUUUCAAUUUGAUAAUUGUGGUCGAUUAGUGCCAGCUAUAAAAGCAAGCAAGGCUAUAAAGUACCUACAUAUAGCCUUUUUCCUUGAUGUGGUAGCUGUAAGUUACUUAAAUUAUUUGAUCGACAUGUUCUUGGAUACUCGUGGAGCAUUGUUUAUGCCUGAGGGCUUGUCUAUAAAUGUAUAUGUUUUUUAAAAAUUUACAUGAGCUAAAUUGUUAGUGAUGUUGAUAGGACUCCUUUGAUGGGCUGCAUGCUUAUAUCGUUGAUUAUUCUUCUUAUUCUUCUAAGUGUUUACCUAAACCGUUAUAUGUGGAGAUUUGGAUGUGUCCAUAAAUUGAUGGCGUGGUCUGCAAAAUUAUGGAUAGUUACGAUAAAAAUCUUAUAUGUUAUUUUACAUGAUGAUCUUUAUACAUGUUUAUGAUGCCUUAACUCUAUAUACAUGUUUUUAAUUAGCUUACCAUACUGGCUAUAUAUAAAAAUAGUAAGCAAUGCCUUGACGUUCUUCCUAUGCCUUUUUAUUGUUUUCCAAGUUUAAUCAGUAUAUUUUUUGGUCUUUUAUGUUGAAAUUUUGAGAUAACCAUAUGAGUGCAUUUUAAAGUUUCAUGUUACAUUUGUGGUCAAUCUAGAUAGCCGUUGAAACAGUUCUAUAAAUUUUGUGGUAUCUUGACAAGAUGUUUAUCACGAAGAUGAUAAUUGUGACGAUGAUGGACGUCAUGAAGCAAAUCUAGAGGGAAAUAUGUUACUGUGAAAAUGAAGGUAUGAAGCAAAUCUAGAGGGAAAUGUGUUUAUUUUUUUGCAGAAACGAGGAGAUAGAAAUAAAAAAGGAUAUUAUAUAACAUGAUGCCUUAAUUGCUCUCUUACCAACUCAAUCACGACUUAUUGAUCAAUUUUUUUGGAUAUCAUCAACCAUUUGUAACCAUAAAGGAAAUGGACAUCAUUUAACAAGGAAAAAAAUAUAUAAGAAAUUUUAUUGUAAUGCAAAAUUUUCUUUGUUUAACUUCUAGGUUGCUAAAGUGUGCUAGUUGCUUUUGACUAUAGUUGGUUGAUGGUUGUUAGAGAGGUUCAGUAACAGGCUCAUGCUUUUUUGGUAAAAUAAAAUAUGGUUUUAGUUAUACCAUUACUUUAUGGAUUUUGGUUAUCCACUAUGGCUAAUAAUCUUUUAUUUUAUCUGCAGUUUAAGAGCAUUUUUGGAUUUUUUUUUUGUUGCUCAACUUUGUGGAUUCGUUUAAUCUAUUGUUUUUUUUUUGUGGUGGUGUUCUACUUUCAGGAAUAUCAUGUAUCGGGUAUCCCAUUGGUAAUAUUGUUUUUGUUUGCUUGCCAUGUUCCAAGUUUGAGGGUUCACUUGGUUUGGGGUAAUGGCAGUUGGUUUUGUUCCAAGAAGAGGGUUUGCUGAUUAUAUAAGUGUUCUUUUCUCGACAAGGAAACAUUAUCAUUAAUAUCUUAUGUUUUGAAGGUUAAUUCAUGGUGGUUGUAAGCUGUAACAGUUGGUGGAAUUGAAAAAGGAGAGACUUACAAUGGGCAUUUGGUCAAUUGUGAUGCUUGGGUGAACAUCCAUCUCCGUUUAGCUUUAGUUUUCUUUAACCCUAAUAUCCUUGAUCUGUUCUUGUGUUAACUGCAGCUUCCUCGUUCUUUACUCAAGACUGCUCAAGGCCACCCAAUGGUAAGAAAGAGAUGUCUGUUUUUCUUGUCGUGUCAUUUGACCAUAUGAAUCCAGAAUUUUCUGCAAAUUUGUAGACUUUGUUUUACAGCCUUUUUCAUUUUUUUUAUGAAGCUUGUAAUUCAUGGUGGUUGUAUGCUGUAAGAGUUGGUGGAAUUGAAAAAACGAGAGACUUGCAAUGGACAUUUGGUCAAUUGUGAUGCUUGGAUGAACAUCCAUCUCCGUUUAGCUUUAAUUUUCUUUAACCCUAAUAUCCUUGAUAUGUUCUUGUGUUAACUACUGGUUCCUCUUUUUUUAGUCAAGACUGCUCAAGGCCAUGCAAUGGUAAGAAAGAGAUGUCUGUUUUUCUUGUCGUGUCAUUUGACCAUAUGAAUCCAGAAUUUUCUGCAAAUUUGUAGACUUUGUUUUACAAACUUUACCAUUUUUUUUUAUGCAGCUUGUAAUUCAUGGUGGUUCUAUGAUGUAACAGUUGGUGGAAUUGAAAAACGGAGAGACUUACCAUGGACAUUUGGUCAAUUGUGAUGCUUGGAUGAACAUCAAUCUCCGUUUAGCUUUAAUUUUCUUUAACCCUAAUAUCCUUGAUCUGUUUUAGAUUCCAAAAUUUCACAUCCCUUUCCAUGCGAUCAUUUUAUGUUCUUGAACCUGGCUUUUCUUGCAGGUUGCUUGAUUUUUCUUUUUGGCUCUGAAAAACAUGGUAUCCAUCUCAACUGUCUUUGAUUUGAAAACUUUCUUUCUCCUGUUUUGUUUGACACACAUAAUUUUUUUUUUCGUGUUAAUUGCAACUUCCUCUUUCUUUACUCAAGACUGCUCAAGGCCACCCAAUCGUAAGAAAGAGCUGUCUGUUUUUCUUGUCAUGUCAUUUGACCAUAUGAAUCCGGAAUUUUCAGCAAAUUUUUAGACUUUGAUUUACCGCCUUUUUCAUUAUUUUAUGCAGCUUGUAAUUCAUGGUGGUUGUAUGUUGUAACAUUUGAUGGAAUUCUAAAAACGAAAAGACUUACGAUGGGCAUUUGGUCACUUGUGAUGUUUGGAUGAACAUCCAUCUCCGUUUAGCUUUAAUUCUCUUUAACCCUAAUUUCCUUUAUCUGUUUUAGAUUCCAAAAUUUGGCAUCCCUUUCCAUGCUUUCAUUUUAUGUUCUUGACCCUGGCUUUUCUUGCAGGUUGCUUGAUUUUUCUUUUUGGCUCUAAAAAACAUGACUGCUCGAGGCCACCCAAUGUUGGUGGAAUUGAAAAAACGAGAGACUUGCAAUGGGCAUUUGGUCAAUUGUGAUGCUUGGAUGAACAUCCAUCUCUGUUUAGCUUUAAUUUUCUUUAACCCUAAUAUCCUUGAUCUGUUCUUGUGUUAACUGCUGGUUCCUCUUAUUUUAGUCAAGACUGCUCAAGGCCACCCAAUGCUUGUAAUUCAUGGUGGUUCUAUGCUGUAACUGUUGGUGGAAUUGAAAAAAGGAGAGACUUGCAAUGGGCAUUUGGUCAAUUGUGAUGCUUGGAUGAACAUCCAUCUCUGUUUAGCUUUAAUUUUCUUUAACCCUAAUAUCCUUGAUCUGUUCUUGUGUUAACUGCUGGUUCCUCUUUUUUUAGUCAAGAUUGCUCAAGGCCAC
Populus nigra (black poplar) is the source of this 14191-nucleotide long non-coding RNA. RefSeq lists it as uncharacterized. The record is from RefSeq and is a predicted model, not a curated record. The transcript is spliced from 14 exons. NCBI's taxonomy places the organism in Eukaryota, Viridiplantae, Streptophyta, Magnoliopsida, Malpighiales, Salicaceae.